Molecule: non-coding RNA, 1988 nt
Organism: Oryzias latipes (Japanese medaka)
Lineage: Eukaryota; Metazoa; Chordata; Actinopteri; Beloniformes; Adrianichthyidae
Source: RefSeq, a predicted model, not a curated record
CAGCUGAGUCAAGACGGGCUUGGACACUUUGUCCACAAACUUUAACCUCACUUUAAAAAGCUCCUCUAGAAAAUACAGAAAAAAUACAAAACUUUUACAAACUUAUUGUACCACAGCAAAACUUUGUAGCAGUGUGACUAGAGAAACAGGGGCCGUGGCCUGGAGUCAGAACGUUCAACCUCUGAUCUGAUGAUCCCACGUUUGCUUUCCAUUUAGCCCUUCACCAUGUGUGAAAGUGGUUGCAAAGUGUCCUUGGGCAAGAAGACACUGAACCGCACAUUGCUCCUGGUGGUUAUGGGUUGGUGCCGGUGUUUAUUAGCAGAGCGGCCAGCGCCACCUUCAGUAUGUGAAUGUGUGAGCAUAGGUGGUGUAGAGCACUUUGAGUUCUAAAUCAAGAUAGAAAAGUGCUAUAUAUAGGUUUAUGCUAUUCAAUACAUAUAAGUUUGAAUAAAAACAAAUUUUAAAAAAUAUAUAACAAAUUGUUGUGUUUUUUGUUGUUGUUCUCCUGCAAAAACACUGUUCCUGCUGGAUGCAGGGGCGCAAAAAGUGGGUAUGCAGCGAAUGUGUCGCAUAGGGGCGCCAGCCAAAGGGGGCGCCAACACGAAAUUGUGAAAAUUAUUUAAAGAGCGUAUUUUUUAAUUUCACAGCUGUUUGUGCACAUAUAUUUACAUGAUAUGAUCAGUAACAGAAGCACAUCGUAACUGAUUGGGCGCCCCCACCGCAGGCGCUCCUCCCUCCCUCAGGUCUUGCAAUCCAGCACAUGCACGCGAGAACGUGCUGGAGCGCGCUCUGUUGAUUGUUUUUAUUUGAAUUGAGUGAUCAUCGGAUUACAGGGUUAAAUGGAAAAGCAAAAGAAAAAACAAUCUGGGGCUCAAAACAGAAAACGCAAUAGGAACAAAGAUGUGGUGAGAAUGAAGAAAAGUUUCUCUAAAUGGUUGAGAGACAGCAGAUGAGAGGAUGGAGAGAAAGACGAGAAUAGAGAAAGAAUCAGGACAGAAGGAGGAAAGAAACAGGAUUUAGUGGAGAAGAACACAGACAAGAGCUGAAGGAGACAGACAUGAGUUUGGUGAUCUGAUAGAAAAGAGAGCAGAGAUGACUUAAGGUAGGAAAAAUUAAACUAUUGAAGUCACAAAAACCAAGAUGCUCAUUCUGGUUUAAAUUUCUGCUGACCACCUGUUCACUUAUUUUGGGAAAACAAGUGCAGACAUACCUGACAUGUCAGUCCCAACAGAGAAGAAUGAGGAGAGAGGUUCAGAUGAUGAUGAUGAUGAUAGAGAGCAAGAGAGACGAUCAGCUGAUGAUGAAGAGGUAAAAGAACAGAGAGGUACAGAGGAGAGGGCUGGGGCAAGGCAUUACUCAGAAGAUCCUUCUGAAUGGCCUCCACCACACAGAUUUGGGGAAUCAUUGAGGCAACACACUGUUGAAAAUGGCUCACAAAAAUGUUCUGCUGGGUCAUUUCCAAUCAGAAAAGAAGUAAUGAGAUGUAUGCAUUUAAACAAUAAAGGUUUUGUGUGGGUGCUUAGAUAUCUUUAGGUGAGGAGGAUGGGACGUUUUAUUAUGUGCAUUUAUGUCUCUGUGUGUGUGUGAGGGGGGGGGGGGGGUAUUUUGGCCGCAUACCCCUAUGAAAUUAGGUAGUUGCGCCCCUGGCUGGAUGUCCAAUAUCCUUUUGUAUAAUUACCUCUAAAGGCGAAAGUAAAUGCUUUCAAGCUUUCACGCCGUUUUGCAUCUCACUGCCAGAUUAUUGGCUAUAAAACCAGAGAAACUGAACUCUGUAAAUCAAAUCUUGAGGCAUCAAUGUUUCAAGCUCCAGGUUUUUGUCCCAAGAAAGAAACGAAGUUGUUGUCUUUGAGACAAAAAAUAAAGUUGGUACAUGUACAUAUACAAUGGUCAUUUUCAAGUUUGUGUAUGUUUGUGUAUAUGUAUGUUAUAGAAAUACACGUUAUGCAAGCUCAGUUUCCGCUUUGAGAGCAGCGGUUUCUAGUCUGAAU